UCAAAAGUACGUGAGGAUUGUGGCGCAUUGGUCGGCUGGAGUCGGUACUGAAUGAGCGGAAGGAGGAGGGAGAUCAUACAUUAACUCCUGCUGGCUGCGGGGACUCUCCAGUUGUCAGAAGCCAACGCAGAGGGGCACACUCAGCGCAGAGCUUUUUGAGAAACAAGGGGGCGACAAAUGAAACCCGACCGAAAAUCCACUUAAUUUUCUCUCUCUUUCUCUCUUCACAGCACCCCCCUUGUUUUCCAGGAGAUUUUUACGCAGCGCAAAAAGAGUAAAGAAAACGCCGCAGAGAUGAGUGUUGCGUGGUUUUACGUGCCCCUGAAGGAUCCUGUCUCCUGAUAAAGGGACCAAAGAGGACAAAAACAAGCCUGUCCAUGAUAUUUUCCAAAAGAAGAUCGCAAAGGUGGAGCGAUUAGAGAAGGGCUGAUGAAGGGACUAUUAAUCCUUUCAGUGCACCAAAAGCACCAAAGGGUAUUAGAAACGUUUGGAUGGAAAUCGGGCGAGUGCUUGGAAUUGUUUUUGGUUUUAUAUGAAACUGGUGAUUAAUAGUUGUUGUGACACAUCUGAAAGGAUUGUUUUUUUUCCCCCACUUAAGAUUCUAAUAAGGAGUAAAAAAAAAAAAAAUUUCUUUCACCGAAAGCUUUUGUGAUAUGAGCGGUUUCUCGGUGUGAAUUUUCAGAAACUCUCAUCUCUAUCUAUCUAUAUUUUUUUUUCUUUUCAAGUAUUCCUAAAUCUAAAUGGAAUUAGUUGAGUCUGAAGCCGUUUGUGAAAGGAACAGACAUGGUACAUGGGCACAGCUUCCAUCACGUUGUUGCAAGUCUACUCAUACUUGGGUUGUGUGGGGCAACAAAGAAGGAUCCAGCAGUGAAAAACAAUUCGGGAGUGAAGCCUGCAGGUCAAUGUGGAACGUGGGUGAAAGAACCAGAAGGAGGGCUCUUCACUUCUCCCAAUUACCCAAACAAAUACCCCCCAGGCACAGAGUGUGUUUACAUCCUUGAAGCUCCCCCGAGGCAGUGUAUUGAUCUGCAUUUUGAGGAGAAUUACUCAAUCGAGUCCUCUUGGGAAUGUAAAUUUGACAACAUCGAGGUUCGGGAUGGACCGUUUGGCUUCUCCCCAAUGCUCGGACGCUACUGCGGUCAACACAGCCCACCUGAUAUCAGGAGUAGCGGCCGAUACCUGUGGAUAAAAUUUGUUACAGAUGGCGAACUGGAAGCAGUGGGAUUUUCAGCAAGUUACAACUUCACUGCAGAUCCAGACUUUGCAGACUUAGGAGUACCCCCACCUCUCCCCUCCUGUCAGUAUGACAUGGUUGGUCCAGAAGGUAUCGUUGAGUCUCAUCAGAUCACCAGAGACGGGAAGGCGGGUGCCGCUGAGGCCGUCGACUGUAAAUGGUACAUCCGUGCUCCGCCGCGCUCCAAGAUCUACCUGCGUUUCCUCGACUAUGAGAUGGCAAAUUCCAACGAAUGCAAGCGCAACUUUGUGGCGGUGUAUGAUGGUGGCAGCUCGGUGGAAGACUUGAAGAGCAAGUUCUGCUCCACGGUGGCCAACGAUAUCAUGCUGGUGUCGACGCUGGGAGUCAUCCGGAUGUGGGCAGACGAGGCCAGCCGCAAAAGUCGCUUCCGCAUCCUUUUCACAACCUACCAAGAACCUCCAUGUGAUGCAGAUGCCUUCUUCUGUCACAGCAACAUGUGCAUAAACAACACGCUGGUGUGUAACGGCAUGCAGAACUGUGUCUACCCCUGGGAUGAGAACCAAUGUAAAGAGAAGAGGAAAGCCAACAUCCUGGACAACCUGAACAACACAAACGGGACCAUAAUUGGCGUGACCUGCUGCAUCGUCCUCAUCCUCCUCAUCGUCUCUGUCAUCGUCCAGAUCAAGCAGCCGCGCAAGAAGUACAUUUUGCGGCGUGAGGACUUUGACCCCACCAUGUUCCAGGAGGUCUUUGAGCCCCCUCACUAUGAGCUGUGUACUUUACGGAGUGCCACCACACCCACAGCGGCCUCGGCAGAUCUAGUCGACCUGGCGGAAGACUUUGAGAACUAUCACGCCCUUCGCCGUGCCUCCUCACGCUGCGUCCACGACCACCACUGUGGCUCUUCCUCCAACCCCGGGUCUGCGCACAUAUCCCAGCUGUCACUCAGUGGACGGGGUAGCCGUGGCAACCUGAGCGCCCGUGACACGGCGGCCGCCACUCUGCUCACAGACCUCCCACAGCCGCCCAUGGCAGUGCGGCCCUUGCUGCCGGCCACGGGAAACCGCAGGAGCAUCUUGGUCAUGAAGCACAGCUACUCACAGGAGGCAGCGGACAAUGAAUGUGACCUGGACGACGACCUGGAAGAAGUUCCCACCACCAGCCACCGGCUUUCACGCCACGAAAAGGCAGUACAGCGGUUCUGCCUCAUUGGCUCUUUGAGCAAACAUGAAUCAGAGUACAACACAACUAGGGUCUAAGAGACAAUCUCAAGACUUCUUGAGAAUAGUGCAAUCCUGGAUCAGUACGAACGGGCCUCACUGACAUAUGAAAAAGCGGAGCGGAGAUUUACACCAGCAUGAUGCUGAUGAUGAUGAAGGGGCACGUUGACGAAAGGAUACUGAAUGUGUAUUCAUGUGCAAGGAUGAACACAAAGGACUAGAUGAAAACACUCCAGCUGCAAUGCUGUGAAGCGGGAAGGUUUGGGAAAUCAGUCAGCUCUGUGCUCUACUUACUGUAGUCAAUCCAGAUGUUUUGUCUCGCUGUAAAGAUAUGGACCUUUACAAUGAACACGAUUACUGAACUUUAGAUUUGGGACGUCACAUGCGCGUUACAUAUCUGCCAUUGUCAUAGAGUCCUCACUGAUAACAAAAUGAAUGUGAUCAAACAUCUUAAGUUAAUUUUUAAGCAUGUGUUUUUCAAAUUAGUAGCAAACAUGUUCUGAUUUUAAUAGCAAAUUUUAGGUGCUUGCAGUUCGUCAAAUCUAGAAAGACUUGUUUUAGUGAAAAUUGGAAUUAAACUGAACUAAUUACUAACCUGAUUGAAUUUAACACUGUUGGAGUAACCAGAAGCAGUUUAAUUUGGAUAACAAAUCAAGGCCGAGUUGUAUGGCUUCUGCAUGCUUCUUCUAUAUCCAUUAAAGCAUUAGCAUACUAACAUUAAAAUAUGAAAAACAGCCAUCUACUAAUACAUAAAUCAUAUGGGCAUAAGAUGGACUUUUAAAAGCAUCUGCAUGUUGUUGCUUCGCUAAAUCAUUAGAGCAUCACGCAAAUAAAUUCCCGACAUUGAUUUUAACUCAGACUCCCUUUUGAAUAUGCUGACUAACUUUUUGACAUGCGUUUUUAUUUUAAUAAAGAGUACUUGCUUUUUCGGGCAAACACAUUUACUUCAAGUCUGUUUGACGUCUAACUCUCUUUUACUGUAGGAGCUUAAUAUCUUUGUAUUAAAACAGACUUUUCUACUAAGGCAAACUGAAAGGAUGACCAUUUUUACAGUUAUUCAAAUUAUCUUUCAGGGCUGAUUUUACUGAUGCUUUAUAAAAUAAAUAACAAUAAAGCUUCACCUUCUUCUUUUGUUUUAUUGGCUUUUUGGUCAGCAGUUCCUCUGUCUGUUUAGUGUGUCCUCAAACGGUCAGCACACACCAUCCUCGUCUCGCAGUCAUGCGUUUUUAGAUGUUGCUGUUUGUUGUGACUGAUUUGCUGCAGAGGGAGACCAGGCCCAAACCAAAAAGGAUUUGUUUCGCCAAGCGGGACAAUAAAAUCAGUUCCAGACGGUUUAAAUAAUCCCAGGUAAUCGAGGCAUCUGACAGACAAGUUAAUUGACUUUUUGUGUUUUGUCCUGAUGAGAUUUAUCCCAUUUAUACUGCAGAGGAGCAGCAGCAGCAGCCUUGCACUUUAAUUGUACUCUGUGCUGGCAGGCUGGUUUUAUAAGAAACUGAAGGGGGAAAAAAACAACCUGCAUUAUGUGGAAAGUGAGAUCAGCACCUCUGAGCACAAUGACAUCAACACACACAAAUCACACACUCUUGCAUUUCUUGUUUCUUACUCUGUCAUUGUCUGUUUUUUUCUUACCGUGGCGAUUUUAAUGGUAUUUACCAUCUAUGUGUACAUUCUUUUUCUGUGUUCGAUGUCAUGUAUGUAUUAUUUACAUCCAUGCUCUCCAGUCUUUUUUCUUCUGCCAUAUGCACACAGACAUAUAUACCUGCAAAUACUGAAUAAAAUAUUUUUCUUUUGUGUACACACAUUGUUCUGUGCCUUGUCUCUCUGCUUUACAUUUCUGUCAACACAUAUAUUUGAAGAAUGUUCAGCGCAGCCAGCACAUAUACUCAUCCUGCUUUCUCUGUCUUUCUCCUCUUUACUCUUUCUCUUAAACACACACACACACUCAAAGUCACAAAUUCAUCUGCCACUUUAUAGAUGGAGGCCGACACGCCACUAAUUAAAUACAUCAGACAGAUGCAUCAUUCCUCUGCAUCUUGACAAGUUUGACAGGAUUCGGAGCUAAGGUUUCUCCCCCAUUUGCAUCUUGAGUCAACCGUUGCCCUGAGCAACAUUACCAAUGUAGAGUGCUGUGAUGAGAAAAUUCUUUUUUUUAAAAAAAAAAGGUUUGUGAUGUAUGCAUCAAGUUUUUCUUUGUCGCUUUGGACUAUAGAAGGUGAAUUUCCCCCAACCUGUGCUCCACGCCUGCCUAGGUUUGAAUGGAGCACUGAAAAAUUUCAGAGACAGAACUGAAAAUUUGUUUGUUUUUCUUUUUCUUUUUGGAAAAAUAGAGUACCUUUAAUGUAAAGUUGUUCAUGAAGAAAAAAAAACAACAGAAUCAGGUUUUUUAAAUCAUUUUCAUGUAACGAUCAACAUAUGAAAUUGCAUAUUUCAGCUGCUGGUUUCACAUAUUUCCUAUUUUGAUGUCAUGUCUUUACAGUAUAGAGUAUCAGAUUGUUUUUAUAUCAAACAGUUCUUGAAAGACCUGUUGAGAAGACAACAGAACCGGAUGUAUGAAAUAAAGUGACAUUAAACCUCAUAAAUGGGUGCAUUCAUGAGUCUACUGGCCCACCUACUAACCUUUAUUUGUUCACAAUUUUACUGAUACUUUUACCCCUUUGUUUUUUGUCUUCUUGGCAAAAUUCAUUGCAUUGUGGUGUUUUUUUAUAUCCAUAUGCAUACUUAUUUGAUAACACAUUAAGAAAAUGCUGGAAUGAAUGUUUUCAAUAAACUAACGUUUACUGAU
This is an RNA transcript of Acanthochromis polyacanthus (spiny chromis), 5197 nucleotides long. It is a transcript of the gene named neuropilin (NRP) and tolloid (TLL)-like 1, like, with no coding region annotated. The transcript has 13 exons. NCBI's taxonomy places the organism in Eukaryota, Metazoa, Chordata, Actinopteri, Pomacentridae. The record is from RefSeq and is a predicted model, not a curated record.